Molecule: ribosomal RNA, 468 nt
Filed under: uncultured bacterium
Lineage: Bacteria
Description: partial 16S ribosomal RNA
Rfam family: Bacterial small subunit ribosomal RNA
Source: RNAcentral
GACGAACGCUGGCGGCGUGCUUAACACAUGCAAGUCGAACGGAAAGGCCCUGCUUUUGUGGGGUGCUCGAGUGGCGAACGGGUGAGUAACACGUGUGUAACCUGCCCUUGACUUUGGGAUAACUUCAGGAAACUGGGGCUAAUACCGGAUAGGAGCUCCUGCUGCAUGGUGGGGGUUGGAAAGUUUCGGCGGUUGGGGAUGGACUCGCGGCUUAUCAGCUUGUUGGUGGGGUAGUGGCUUACCAAGGCUUUGACGGGUAGCCGGCCUGAGAGGGUGACCGGCCACAUUGGGACUGAGAUACGGCCCAGACUCCUACGGGAGGCCGCAGUGGGGAGUAUUGCGCAAUGGGCGGAAGCCUGAUGCAGCAACGCCGCGUGCGGGAUGACGGCCUUCGGGUUGUAAACCGCUUUCGCCUGUGACGAAGCGUGAGUGACGGUAAUGGGUAAAGAAGCACCGGCUCACUACGUG